UCGGUAUCGUGCUAAAUCCUAACUAAAUUGCUCCCAGUAGUGGGACAUGUCAGCCUGAGUCAUUCUGCAAAGUUUGGCAAGAGUCAAAUUUGCAUUUAUGUUGGCCAGCAACAUGUCUGAACAUGAACAUAUUUCAGCCUUAUCUAACUUUAUCUAAGGGGAAUUACAAGUUUAAAUUAACCUUAUAAGCUAUUAUAUUUAUUUUACUGUAUUUGGUGUAUUUGUCAGUGUUUUAUCUCAUUUCAAUUUCACACUUUUCUUUAGUAAAUCCUCUUCAAAUUCAAAAGCAGCCUGAUUCUUGAAGGAAGUAAUGCAAGAUAGUUUAGCAGACUGAGAACAUUGUUGAAGUACUGAUGUACAUUUCAACUGUACAUUGCACCCAAUAUACUGUUGUACAUUGGCUCUGUCCUGACAGAGAAAAAAGUUGACGUUCAAGAACAGCUGAUCCAAACAGUUAACCUGACACAUCCCUACGUCACCCAUUACCAGCCUGGACUUCUGGUCUGAGAACCUCAACAGGAUGAAUUGUUGCCUGGAUAAAGACAUUUUGUUCCUCUGUCAGAUCAUCAGUGAAGGUAUUUAAACCCUCCAUUCCCUGGUUGAAGGCACACUGCUUCCAGUGAACCUGGUUUCUGCUGCUGCUGCUUUGAUUCUUCAUCACAAGAUGAAAUUUGUUCUUUUUACUUUGUUCCUUUGUGGAUUCAUGCUCAAAGUAAAUGUGAGUGAAAUCUUUCUCUUCUGUUUGCUGUUUAGAAAAUCAGUUGUUAUUAAUGUACUUUUAGUGUUUUUAUCUCUUUAUUUUGUCCAUAUGUGAAACAGGCAGUGAAACACUGAAAUGUGUCUGUAUGAACUGCAGAUAAACGAUGAUAACUUUAUCAACUCUAAAAACUUUGAAGACAAAAAUGUUUUUCAAAAGUAAUUAUUUUUUAUAUCGGUCUCUUUUAAUUAACAGGGGAAAAGUUCAUCAGGAGGUUUGUGCUUUAAUGUUUCUGGUGUUUGGAGUUCACAAGGUGGCGCUGCAGGUUUCAGUAUGAAGACAAGCUGGGCAUGAAGGCUGAUGUUGAACGUUCAUCAUUUAUUGGAUCUAAAACUGCUAAACACAAUUUGGACUUUUCCGUGUCCUGAUAUUAAUAUGAUCUGAAUGUCUCAUAUGCAGAAUCCCUCCCAGAGGAAAAAUCCCUCGUGGCAUGUGAGGGAACAGUGGCUCGACUCUACUGUGAAGAAGGUCAGGCUAUCUAUGUGACCAGUGCUACAUAUGGACGCACUGACAAGAAGAGGUGCAGCGCUGGGAGACCUGCUGACCAG
Long non-coding RNA from Poeciliopsis prolifica (blackstripe livebearer), 1305 nucleotides. RefSeq lists it as uncharacterized. NCBI's taxonomy places the organism in Eukaryota, Metazoa, Chordata, Actinopteri, Cyprinodontiformes, Poeciliidae. The record is from RefSeq and is a predicted model, not a curated record. The transcript is spliced from 3 exons.